Molecule: long non-coding RNA, 433 nt
Organism: Austrofundulus limnaeus
Lineage: Eukaryota; Metazoa; Chordata; Actinopteri; Cyprinodontiformes; Rivulidae
Exons: 3
Source: RefSeq, a predicted model, not a curated record
CAUGAGUGCAUUGUGAGAUGAUUUUCUUGGCACUAAGAAAUACGUGGAGCCAGCUGGUGAAAGACUUUGCAGCAGGAAUUGGUGCUUUUCAAGCCUGAUGAUGCAGAGGAGAGAUGUGUGAGGAUGUGAGGUCCCUGUCUUCUUACAAACAGACGUGCAGAGAGGGAGAUGGAUUUAACCCAAAUUGAAGUGGAUUAUACACAUCUUCUAUGCCUCCAGUCAGCAUUACAUAACCUUAAAUCUAGUUAUGCAUCCCUGUUUCAUUUUAGGAGCGAGAUUGGAGGACGGUGGGCGGGGUGCAAUCAAAACCUCUGAAGAUAUUCACAUGUUGGCAACCCUACCCACAUGGUCAAGAAUAUUCCAGGAUUUGUUAUGAUGUCAGCAAAUUAAACAGGUGGUGAAUCAGGUGGAACUCUUUGAUGGUCAGUCUGGA